RNAcentral lists this long non-coding RNA (724 nucleotides) under Chrysolophus pictus (golden pheasant). RNAcentral's name for it is "lncRNA (ENSCPIG00010000654.1)". Lineage: Eukaryota; Metazoa; Chordata; Aves; Galliformes; Phasianidae. The record is from RNAcentral.
GGCCGGGGGGCGCUGGCCCUUUAAGGCAGCGAAGCCCCGCGAGCAUUCCGGCUGCCUCUCCCCCCAACGGCGCGGCCGCGUCAUCGUUCCGGGAAGCAGAUGGCGUCAUCCCGUCCUCCCGCUGCGGAGGGGCGGGGACUUGAAACAAAGGAAUAAAAAUAGAAGGUGAGGCCCGGGGCACGGUGGCCGCGGCGGUGACGUCGAGCUGAAAUCCGUCCCGAGCAUCACAACCCCUUCUCUCCCCCCCUUUACGCACUCACACCCUUGAACCGCGCCCGCGCCGCGCAUGCGCCGUGCCGCGGGUUAUUUAUAGGCGGUGGGAGCGAGAGGGGUGACGUAAUUCGGCGCUCGCUGCGUCGUGCGCGCGGUGUGUCACGUGCCUGGCGGCGUUCCCGGCGGCCUCGCGGCCUUUCCCCGCANNNNNNNNNNGGGUCCCGGCUUUCCCCGGAGCGCGCCCUGCCCGCCGGGACCUGCUGCUCCGCCCGGGCUGAGGAAAAAAUUCACUUGGAUUUUUAUGCACUCUUCUGCAAGAACAAGCACAGAAAGAAAGAAACUCCUAUGAAACCAAGUGCUAACUUCAGCCAGUCACUUUUUCCUCCCAGUGAGGCAGAAAUCUGAAGGACUUUUUAUCUCCAGAGUACAGCAAUUAGCAGCUGAGCCAGAAGUACUGUUGGGGGCAUCGUUCUUCCUACCAGUAUUCCAGCAAACGUCUGAUGGGCACAGG